GCAUUGGUGGUUCAGUGGUAGAAUUCUCACCUGCCACGAGGGAGACCUGGGUCCGAUUCCCGGCUAAUGCA
Danio rerio (zebrafish) is the source of this 71-nucleotide non-coding RNA. The record is from Rfam. NCBI's taxonomy places the organism in Eukaryota, Metazoa, Chordata, Actinopteri, Cypriniformes, Danionidae.